GUGGAAUGAAACAUAGUGGAGUAUGAUCUACACAGGGAGCUUGUGACCGGAGUAUAUAUGGGGGAAAUUUUGGCCCUGGGAAGGUGAGGAACCAGCAUGUAGCACUGUCCAAGGCUGACAGCCCAUCUGAAGAGGAUCCUGAGGCUGUUUCUGUUGUCCUCCAGUUUGCAUCAGUGGAUGUGAAGAUUGUGCUAAACUCAUCUGAAGAGCCUCCUAAAACCAGGCAGAUGGUUUGAUUUGCAGUGGGAAAGAAAAAAGUGGAGAAAAAGUAAGUGUUUGAAACCUAUUCCCACCCCUCACCCCCAGUAAAACUCCUUAGGGUAAUAU
This 327-nucleotide long non-coding RNA is filed under the name Apteryx owenii (little spotted kiwi). RNAcentral describes it as "lncRNA (ENSAOWG00000010614.1)". The record is from RNAcentral. Lineage: Eukaryota; Metazoa; Chordata; Aves; Apterygiformes; Apterygidae.